Molecule: transfer RNA, 77 nt
Filed under: Pedobacter cryoconitis
Lineage: Bacteria; Pseudomonadati; Bacteroidota; Sphingobacteriia; Sphingobacteriales; Sphingobacteriaceae
Also listed under: 15 other names
Description: tRNA-Asn
Rfam family: tRNA
About the family: Transfer RNA (tRNA) molecules are approximately 80 nucleotides in length.
Source: RNAcentral
UCCUUCUUAGCUCAGCUGGUUAGAGCAUCUGACUGUUAAUCAGAGGGUCGCUGGUUCGAGCCCAGCAGAGGGAGCAA